UAGAGAGAGAGAAGCCUGUGCACCACAGUGGAGAUCCCGCACGCCGCGACUAAGACCCAACGCAGCCAAAAAUAAAUAAAAUAAAUAAGUAUUAAAAAACUUGCCCAAGUGAAACACUAACCCAGGAAAUCUUAUUUUAUGUACUUGUAAAGUAGGCAUAGCAACAGUCCCCUCAAAGAUGGCAUGUGGGCAGAAGACUGCAGACCUUGGGUAGUCAUUGUCUCUCCUGAAAUGUGUGUGUCAGAGGCCAAACAAAUCUGCCAUCAGGAAGAAGGAAGAGGAGAAAGAAUGCUGGAGACAUAAAAACAGGAAAGACUUGUCCUUUCAUUUCUCCCAGCAUGAGGACACUGGUGCUGGAAUGGCUGCAGCAACUGCUAAUUGUCUCAAUAUCUGUCACCUCUCCUUCCUCAAUAGAAGAACCCUGAAUUUUUGGCCAUCGAGAAUGGGAAUGACAUUUCCCACCCUCCCUUGCAGCCAGGUAUGGCCAUGUGACUACGUUCUGGCCAAUGGAAGGCAACUUCCAGGAAGUGUCCUUGAAGCAUGGAGAUGUAGACUCAUCUCUUCCCCCUCUUCUCUUCUACUGGCUGGAAUGAGAAUGUGAUGGCUGGCACAGGAGCAGCCAUCCUGGACAUUGUCGUUAGAGCUGACGCAUGGUACACCAACAGGAUAGAAGGGGUGGAGGUCUCUGACACCGGGGAGCCCUACUGGACCCAUCCCGGGACUCCCUUACUCUGGACUCAAACUGAAAGAGAAUUAAAUAUGUCUUGUUCAAGCCCAUGCCAUUUUGGAUUUUCUGUCACUCAUGGCCAAAUCUAAUCUUAACUGAUACAAAAUAUAGGACCAAGAUACGCAAGCUGUAAGUAGCAGAGCUGAAACUUGGGGCAGUGGCUUAUGGAUGCGGCCGGGGGCAGAGACUCAGAUAGUGGGGGCUAGAGGACAGGUGACCCACAUCGUGCAGAAACAAAGCAUUUGCUAACAACUCUCCUCUGUUGUUUUUUGAAAAGCAGCCCUUGCUCUGAACAAGGAUUGAGGAAGGAAAUGGUAGGAGAAAUUCAUAAUGCAGAAAUGCAUUAGCUGCUUCUCACUGCUUACAGCAAAGUCCCACAAAAGAGAUGGACGUGGGUGACGGCUGGCCAGGGCGGGUGUGGCAUGAAAGGUAAGGCAGCUAUGCUCGUGGAGACCAUCUCUGCCUGAAGCCCGCAAUCUAAAUUGACUGAGAACUGGGUAAUUUGGAGGCUUGCAGGGUUGAAAAAAGCAACCGCUGCAUCUCUCAGAUGACAUCAAUCAUUGGAAAGGUUCUGUGCAAAGCAGUGCACUUAGUGGAAAAUAAAACUAGUGCCCCGUCCUACCAAUUUGUAAGACUUGUGGCAAAAGUCACUUUAAGGAUGUUGCCUUCCUACCCAGGCCUGUUGCUUCAGGUGACUCAAGGUGGGCGGUGCCAUUGUGCUGAGGGACAGGAGACGUUGGCCAAGCGAGCGUGGAGGCCAACAAGGACAGGCCAGACGCUCCAGGGUUAUAAACUAUGUCUCAACAGAGAGAGCUGGCUGGAAACAAAUAGAUCAGAAAUCUUUACGUUUCUGAAAAAAUGCUUUGCCAAAGAAACCACAGCAUGGUCUGAAAAAGCCUGUGAUUGUUCAACCCCAAAGCAAUCCCUGAAAACAAGGAGCAAGCUGUGAAAACCACGCAGGUCCCAGGAAGGGCAUCCCCUCCGGUACCCACGCCAGUCAGCUGUGGCAGGGGAGACAACAGCAAGCACGCAGUAUCAUUUUGAGCUUGGGUCUGAUCUCUGGAAACUGCCGAAAGGCGUUCAGGGCCUCGCCGGGUAAGCAGGUGAGGGAUCAGCCUGAGUGCCAGCACUGUGGGCUGGGAAUGGGGCUGAAGGUGGAGGAUGGGGCCCACAACCCGUAAAACGGGCAUCGCUGUGCAGCUGGGCCAGGUGAGCUCAAUCAACUUUAUUCUUUAGUUCUUGCCUUGUGAUGUUCAGAACCCCCUAGGAUUCUGUGGCACAAUGAAUUCACAUACCUGGAGAGGUGGUGUUACCAGGAUGCUUGUGUCAACCGAGAUGGUGCUAUGUCUGGCAAUCAGGAAGAUCCACACAUAGAUCUGAACCCAUGAAGGAGGCCUUCACCAGGGAAAGCCCACUGCAGGCCAGCCUUCUGGGGGCAAGUGCUGUCUUACCUGCUUCUGUGGUACACGGCGCCUGGCACGAGCUGGACACUUCAUCAGAGUAAGCUGCAGUAGCAGGUGAGUGGACAAAGCCCCUUGCUGGUUCACGCUAAGGACGGAUGGUUACAGGAUACACAGCAACGAUGGAUGGAAUGUGCCAGACGGGGAGCUUGUUAACAUGCAGAUGCCUGGGUCCCACCUCCAGAGCCUCUUUCAGCGGGUCUGGGCUGGGGCCCUGGGAGCCUGAGUUUAAACAUGCUUGCCCAAACCCGAACCUUCUGCCCUUACCUUUCUUCUUUGCUUCUGAGAGCCGUGCCCACAGCCUUUGAGCCAUUGGCUCACUUUUCUGACUAGACUGUGGUGAAGAUACUGGUGACGGGGGUCCAUGGUCCUUGAACACCCACAAAUGAAUGGUGCGAGGUGUAACAGGGAGCAUGGAGGUCCAGAUGGCCAAGGGAGAUCAACUUAGGAUAAACUGUUGUGAAAACUGCACAUUUAUUCAUCCGUUCAGCAAAUAUUUAUCGAGAAUCUGCUAUGUGUAUCACACUGUACCUCUCCCCAUGUGUGAAAGUUUGGACAAACUGUUCAGUCAAACUAUUGGGCAAACCUUUGUGGACCUCUCCUCACAUGCGGUCUGUGAACCCUCUGACACCUGGCUACUCAAAGUGUGGUCCGUGGACCAGCAGUGCUGGCACUGCCCGGGGAGCUUGUUAGAAAUGCUGAAUAUUGGGCCCCACCCCAGAACUGCAGCCCCUGUGUCUGCAUUUCAAUAAGAGGCCAAGAUCCCCAGGUGACAUGUGUGCACAUCAAAGCUUGAGACCCACUGGUCAAACACCCACUAUUGGGCCAAACGUCUUAUAUCCAAGUAUGUGUCUGUGACGGAGCGCACAGCUUUCAUGCGAUUCUCAUGUUGACCUGUGACCCCCAGAAUUUAAUCAUGGCCUCGGGGACUAUCUAGUCCAGGGCUGUGUUGAUAAGAAGUUGUGCUUCCCUGAUCGAACCCUGUGAGCGAUCUGGGAUAAGAUUUAUGAUGGGGCUCGGCAUUAUGCAGUGAUGAAGGAGGUGAGCGAGUCUCCGGAAGGCUGAUGCCUUCACAUUGGGUGGUUGGCCUGAAGUUCCCGGGGUGAGCAGGGCAGCACACAGAGCAGGAGGGGCGGGGAGAAACUGGAGACCCCAGGAUGGACUAGAACCUGCCUCUGUCUCACACCACCUCUAAGUCCACAAGAUGCUUGGCUGGAUGGCCACCCUCACACAUUGCUGGUCAUGCACCUGGUCCAUGACUCACUGGAGCUGGAGGAGCCGCUGGUCCCAUUGCUGCCCCAGGACAAUCAGACGGCCCAGAGACUUCUCUCCUGGCCAACCCUGACCUGGAACAUAGAGCAAAGAGAAUGUGGGAGAUGUAAGUCCCGCCCAGAUGCACCAAGGCCGGGCAAGGUUCUCACACUCGGCAGUCGCCAGGGCCAGGCGGUGCUGUGACGGGUGAAGAGGGACCGGCAGGGCUGUGAGGACCUCCAUCCAGGUAUACAUUUCAGGUAAUGAAAGGUGUUGAGAAAGUAAAGCAGGUAAUAGGACCGAGCGCCUCGGGGCAGUGGAGGCAGGCCUUGGAGUCCCCAGCCUGUACCUUGCCUCAUGAAAGUUUACAGUCAGAGGGGACCAACUAGUAAAUAAUUGCAGAAAUCGAUGUAAAAGGACAAGUAUGAUGAACCCACAUUUUAACCAGAUUCCUAGGUGACCUAUUUGCUCAGUAGAGAUUGAGAAGUGCUGUCCCAGGGUCUCCUUUAUGACCACUGUAUAUUCCUUCUUUUAAACAAACACUGCACGUUUUGUGGAGGCGGGUGAGGGAUUAUAUGGAGAGAGAAGACCUAGACAGUCAUCUUUGCAUGUCUUUUGGAGUCUGGGAGAAUUUCUGCCUGUUUAAGAAUUAGAGAGUCCAAGCCCAUCAAUGAGUUAAGGGUAUAUAGUUUACUUUGUAUAUAAAAGUUUUGAGUCACUGGAGAAAACCUUCACAAAUUACUUCUUCCCCCCUGAAGGAGGCAAUGUGUAGCCAAGCAGGCCUGAGACCCAAGCACAGGUUCCAGCAGACGUCAAACCAGAACAAGGCUGCAGACUUCCUAAGAAGCCCGUUAAGCUUAGGCUGGUAGCACGAGAUACCACCAUGUGGUUUGGGGCAUUCUUAUUUUGAAUUUCCUUUGUGGUUUAGAACUUUAAUUUCAGCUUCCUGGUAGACCAUGGUAUUAGGGUGAUGAAAUCAUAAAGAACACCUAGACUCACAGUAAGAAACCAUCACCAAGGGCUGCAAUUCCUCAUUCAUCAUUAUGCAAUCCAUGGAGUCUGUUUGUAGCUUCUCUCCAUAGAUUUCAACUAUGACUCAUCAAAGACUAAAUCAGCCCAUUUUAUAAACAUUCUGUCUCUCUAUAGCCAAAUGCUUUCAGAUAUCCUGAAUCAUAUCAGCAUACUGGUCAUUAGAAGGGAGACCUGUAGCAGUUCACAGAUUACAGAUAUGAUUACAAAGCCAAAGUCCAGAACUGGAAAAGAAGAUUACAAAAUUAACCUCUGUGUCCCAGGCUCACUUCUAAAGCAUGGCACAUUUUAUAAGAUGUCAGUCUCCCAGAACCUGGCACACAGCCAGCUUACAGAAUGCUUACCGAAUACAAUAUUCCUGCAAGACUUUUACAAUAAAUCCAAGCUUAGAAUGUAUCAAAUUUUAAGUACCGUAAAAGAUGGUGUUUUCUCUCGAUCAACAGGGCGGUGAACAUGUAUUUUUCCAUUCACAUUAUCUUUUAUAGAAAACAAACCAAUCUCUGGAUAUUUAUCUACACCAGGUCCAAUGAUUAAAUAUACUAAUUCCAUGUCGGCAGACAAAUUAUUGAACAGCUGGAAGGAGAAAAAAUUAGGGAAAAAUGAGGGUGAGAAUAAGCCACUAUGCCUAUCAAAUAUCUAGGCUAAGAUUCAAAGGCAUUUGUAAAGAACCAUACCCAGCAAUUACAGAUCUGAGAAUUUACCCUAAAGAAAUAAACAGGUAGAGAUGAAAGAACAAGGGGUAUAGCAGCAGUUUGGUUUGUAAUAGUGAAAAGUUGGAAACAACAUAAAUGUCCAUCCCUAUGGAAAUAAUCGUGUAGUGGUUCUCCCCUCACGCGGCAUGGGGCUCUGCAGCUUUUCAGGAUUUAUAUUCCCUGCCCCAGAAUGAGGGCUGUGACACAUGGUAAAACAAGAAAGGCCACCAGCGGGACAGUAUACUCAGUGUGAUCCCAUUUUGUUAAUACAGAUUCAUAGUAGUGACUGUGCAAAGAAACAUCUGAAAGGAUACAUACCAAGUUGUCCAUACUGAUUAUCCCUCCAAAGAAGAGUAAUAAUCAUACAGCUAACUUUACAAAUUGCUUAGAAGGAGCCAGCUUAUAUAUUGCCUUACUUGCACUAACCUGCUUAAUCUUUUUUUUUUUUUUUUUUUUUUUUUGCGGUACACGGGCCUCUCACUGCUGUGGCCCCUUCCGUUGCG
Molecule: non-coding RNA, 5662 nt
Organism: Delphinapterus leucas (beluga whale)
Lineage: Eukaryota; Metazoa; Chordata; Mammalia; Artiodactyla; Monodontidae
Source: RefSeq, a predicted model, not a curated record